UAAAUAAUUUUUGUAGCGUAAAAGGUAAAUAAAUUCAUACAUACUAUAAUACAAAUAACCAAAAUAUAAAAUUUAAUUUACAGUGACACGUGGGCCCACGAACGAUCAAAAGUAUCAAAAGCGGUAAACCUACAGUUUUUUGAGGAUGCAAGUCCAACUGUAGCCCUAAACAAAGUGAGAUAUCUACCGACUAUCUUGAGCCUAAAAUGGGUGAAAAUGAGGGUGAUGAGAUUAUAUAAUCCCAGUGAGUAAACAAAUACCAUCUAAAAUAUCUAAGGCUGAGUAAAUGGAGACAGAUAAAAUAGUUUAACAUACUGUAAUUCAUCACCUUUCAACUCAUUUCAACCAAAUAAAAUCAAUUCAUAUAAAUCGAGUAAUCAACAUGGCUUAUGAAUUUCUUAAAACUUUGGCUCUUGUCAAAAUCAUUCUCAUACUCAGUUAUCAAGGAUACCUUGGCCGAGGGCUAUCCCAACCGAGUCCGCCAAGGCUGUUAAAAAGUUAUGUACGCAUAAAUCAUGUUUUUAUUUUGAAAACAUAGCCAUUCCUUGGCGUUGGCUGAGUUCAACCUCACGUGGUGGUUUGGCAUGAAGUGAACUCUAAAGUGUUAACCUCAGGAGUUAUCCAUCCGAGCCUCCAUGCUGAGGUAAGAAUAUAAUAGGGUUACCGUGCCCCCUCUAAUAGGCUGGUCCACGGAACCCGUCCACUGCAGCGACUAAUCAAUAACCCACCAAUUCAAUAAAAUUUAACAGCAUGACAUGGCAAUUUUAUCAUUAUCCAGCCUAUCAAGGAAAACAACAGUUUAUACAUUUUCAACACAAAUACCAAUUCAGCCAUUCAUGCUAAUAUUGCCAUAAGCCAAUCAAUUAGAACCAUAAAUUCACAAUACAUCAAAUGGUCUCCAAUUACUCUGUUUUCAAAGCCAUCAUUCAAUUUCAAGACAAUUUAUAAAAUCAUUUCAUUUAAACACAUUUUGUUUAUAAAACAUAAAGAUUUACCAUUUAAACUGAUUUUCCAUAAAAUCACAAAAUCAGAUAAAAAUCACUUUAGAUAAUUAAGACGAUAGUAAGGUUACUCACUAUUUCGGGAGUCGAAUUCCGAGUACUCCGAUUCUAGAUCCUUGGGUACUAUCUCUUUACUUUUGUCAGAAUGCUCACCACCUAGACAUAAUGCACAAUAAGCCAUUUACUACAUUUGUGCUAAAUUAUUAUAAAACCAAUUCAAGCUCUAUACUAAUGCAUGAAAUGGGAUGUGAAUUGUUCGGAUAUCGUCUAAACAUGGUGUUCUACACAAAUUCAAUUGUGUACCUAAAUAAAAUAAUAUUGGCCUAAUUCUAUCUAUCACCCGAUUAAUUGGCCAAUACGUCUAAUUCAACUCCAAAUAAUUCCAUUUUUCUCCCAAUACUCCAAACCAUCAAACACAAAUUAAAUAACUUGAAAUAUGGCAAAAUCAUCUUCACAUUUUCUCUUGGGAAUUUCGGCCAUGGUGGGUGCACUAACAAUAUAAUUUUUCAAGCUUGAUUCUCACACCAUAAAUCACUAAUUCCUAACCAAAUCACUUGAAAUAAAAUCAAAAUCAUCAUCAAUAUUCCACAUGGAGAAUUCAGCCAAUGAUGGGUGAUGGAAGAACAUGAAUUUUUCUUACUUGAUUUUCAUGCUACACAUCACCAAUCAACUAAAAACACUAAAAUACAUUGAAAUCUAACCAAAUUAAGCAUCAAAACCUCUCUCUAAGUGUUUAGCCAGCAAGAUAAUUAUCAUGAAAUCAUGUGAUUCAACCAUGGAAAAUGCAAAAGAAUGCAUGGGAAAGGUAGAUCACAAGUCAAAAUCAAGAAAUUUUACCUUUGAUUGCUUGAUUACUUGAAAUCCACCAAUUUUCUCUUGAAUUUUCACCCUAGGGUUCUUGUUCUUUCUUUUCUUCCUUUGUUCUUGCUUUGGCCGGCCAUAUGAAG
RNAcentral lists this long non-coding RNA (1948 nucleotides) under Theobroma cacao (cacao). Its description in RNAcentral is "long non-coding RNA (TCAC_LNC002454)". The record is from RNAcentral. Lineage: Eukaryota; Viridiplantae; Streptophyta; Magnoliopsida; Malvales; Malvaceae.